UGGGGAAGUUUUCCGUCAAUGGGCGAAAGCCUGACGGAGCAAUGCCGCGUGGAGGUGGAAGGCCUACGGGUCGUCAACUUCUUUUCUCGGAGAAGAAACAAUGACGGUAUCUGAGGAAUAAGCAUCGGCUAACUCUGUGCCAA
RNAcentral lists this ribosomal RNA (143 nucleotides) under uncultured bacterium. RNAcentral's name for it is "partial 16S rRNA". It matches the Rfam family "Bacterial small subunit ribosomal RNA", at positions 355 to 511 of the family's 1533-position model. The record is from RNAcentral.